UUGUGAUUGUUGUAGCUUUUCCUUGGAUAAACCGAACAGAGCAGGAAAAAAAAAGAAAGAAAAGAAAAGAUAUAAUUU
RNAcentral lists this non-coding RNA (78 nucleotides) under Compsopogon caeruleus. The record is from RNAcentral. Lineage: Eukaryota; Rhodophyta; Compsopogonophyceae; Compsopogonales; Compsopogonaceae.